This 130-nucleotide small RNA is filed under the name Salmonella enterica subsp. enterica serovar Infantis. Its description in RNAcentral is "RtT sRNA". It matches the Rfam family "RtT RNA". Rfam says of the family: This family represents a bacterial cis-regulatory element known as RtT RNA. The exact function of RtT is unknown although it is thought that it may be involved in changing the cellular response in relation to amino acid starvation. Lineage: Bacteria; Pseudomonadati; Pseudomonadota; Gammaproteobacteria; Enterobacterales; Enterobacteriaceae. RNAcentral also lists the same sequence under 15 other names. The record is from RNAcentral.
AUCUGAAGCCUGACGAGGAUGAGAACCUCCGGGGGCAAGAGGUUCGACUCGAGCGCAGCGAGAGAACGUUGCGUCAGCAACGGCCCGCAGGGCGAGCCACGCAGUGGCGAGUCAUCCUCUAUCACCAGCA